GAUGAAGAACGUAGCGAAAUGCGAUAAGUAGUGUGAAUUGCAGAAUUCAGUGAAUCAUCGAAUCUUUGAACGCACAUUGCGCCCCUUGGUAUUCCAUGGGGCAUGCCUGUUCGAGCGUCAUUUGUACCUUCAAGCUCUGCUUGGUGUUGGGUGUUUGUCUCGCCUCUGCGUGUAGACUCGCCUCAAAAUAAUUGGCAGCCGGCGUAUUGAUUUUGGAGCGCAGUACAUCUCGCGCUUUGCACUCAUAACGACGACGUCCAAAAGUACAUUUUUACACUCUUGACCUCGGAUCAGGUAGGGAUACCCGCUGAACUUAAGCAUAUCAAUAAGCGGAGGA
This 337-nucleotide unclassified non-coding RNA is filed under the name soil metagenome. RNAcentral's name for it is "partial contains 5.8S ribosomal RNA, internal transcribed spacer 2, and large subunit ribosomal RNA". The stretch from base 1 to 120 matches the Rfam family "5.8S ribosomal RNA", at positions 35 to 154 of the family's 154-position model. The record is from RNAcentral.